Molecule: non-coding RNA, 30 nt
Filed under: Rattus norvegicus (Norway rat)
Lineage: Eukaryota; Metazoa; Chordata; Mammalia; Rodentia; Muridae
Source: RNAcentral
UGGGUUGAUGACCGUUUUUGGGGCAAGGUC